CCUUGAUCAGCCACAUUGCCUGGUGAUCUCACAGGAAGGGAUACAUUUCUGAUCAUUUGGACAGAUUAAAGGUAUAAAUAGAGUUUAACUCCUAGAGGCCUUCUGUUUCCACUUGGUAUUUAUUCUGAAAUGAUAAUUUGAAAUAAAACAAAAAAUGUGCUAUCAAGAUAGUCAGAUUUGUUGGGCUUUUGAAAAUGGGAUGCUGAAGGGUCACGUGAAGCAUGUAUGUUGCCCAGCCCUGUGCUAAAUUUUCAGGAAGAUGCUCAUCUCAAAUAUAGGUGGGAUAUUUUAAGAAUUAGGUAACAGUAUAUUUAAAAGUAUUUCCAGGAUUGCAUAAGAACAAAAUACUGCAGCCACAUUAUUUAGUGACCAAUACAUUUUCUGAGUUAAUAUUUAUCAACUUUUAAAUAUUGCAUGCAAAUAAAGUUUGUUUAGCAUUAGCACACUACUGCUUGGAUUCCAACCAUUUUGGAAUCCUUCACAAAUGAAAGAACUUCCUUAACAAAGAUCAAGCAAUCUGUGAAGGAUGGAGGUUCAAUUGGAGGGUCAGUCUCUAGUAAUUCUUUUUCACACAAUGGGAAAACUGCAAUUAGCAGCAGAUUCUUAAUAGCAAAUGUGAAAAUAAAUAAAACUGAAUAUGAUUGGGACUGCCUUUGGAAUAAAUAAUUUGUGCAGCACAUAUGUUUUGUGGGGCAUAUACAUUGCCCGGACAUCACUGAAAUUUAUAUUAAACAUACACACUUAUCUACUGAACUACUAUUGUGUACAGUCAUUCUCUGCAUUUGACACAACCAUUUGUUUCAAUUUUAAUGUAAACAGAAAAAAGCAUGUAAAAAUCAAAAGUAUUGAUCACAACUAUAAAAAGCUAAGUACAGACUUACAGCUUUAAAUACAUAUUAAAUAUGUGUGUUGGAAAUAGUAACAAAACAUUUUACUCACAGUAUAAAGCAAACAAAAAUGCAAUGUCAUGAUUAGUUGCUGGUUUGCAAUUAUUCAAUCUACAAAAGCUCAACAUACAUUAUAUAUUAUAUAUUACAUUAGAUAUUAACAAUCGUUCCCAUUUACAAAAAUUGGAACUUUGUAAAAAUAAUUCUAGGUAUAUUUGAAUAAAAGUCACCUUUAUUUUUCCCUCAGAAUAGUUGCAUGGAUUUUUUAAAUGUAGAAUCAGGCAUAAAUUUAUUGAGAUAUUACUUCAUAAUGUUUUACGUCGUAUUACAUUGUUCACUUUUUACAGAUGGUAGAAUUGUAUAUAGGAAUGAAAAGGCCAAAGGAAAAUGCUUUCUUUUUCGAAGAAUGAGGUAAGUUUGUAGGAUGUCUGAUUAAGAAUACAGAAUCCACAACUCUGAUGAAAUAACAUGACAAGAUUUUGCAAAGCAUUGGGGAGAAAUGCAUAAUGAAUCAUUGGCCUGAGUGAAUUAGGCCUCUUCAAAGCAUUGAGCUUUGAAGGGGUCUAAUGCCCCUUUGAAGGGGCCUGUGCCUUCCAGAGAGGUUGCAUGAUGUAUCCCAUGCCUGAUUGUGCAUGUUGCAUAUCCAGAUACUUCAACUGGGAUUUAUUAACAAAACAAAGCAGUUGUGCAUCUGUGCACACAAGUGGAAAUGGCUUUUGAAGCAAUGACUUAGAAAAGGAUUCUUUAAGGUUAAGAGGUGUUUUCCUUGCACUACUGAGUUUUUAGAGAAGGGCCUUAUCAAUGCUGUGCUACAAAAGUACAGCUACAUAUGGCCUUUAUAGAUAUGUCUUAUGGUGUGUAGGACAACUGUUAUUAAACAAUGGGCAACUGUUUCUAUAUCCAUAGCUGAACUAUAGUCUCAUUAAGAUUCAAACGUAAUACAUAAUGCUGCAUAGAGAUCCAGAUUUGAAGGGCUAAAUGUGAUUUGGAGUGCACAUCUUUUUAUGAAGACUCAUACCAGUUUGAUGCACUUAUUCUGAGGUGCUAUAUGUACACACUUGUGUGUGCUCCAAAUCAUAUUUUGCUCUUUGAAUCCAGCUCUAUACAGUUCUAUAAUACAGGAGAGAAGUUGUUAGAUUAAGGUAAUUCUUAAAAGUUUAUUAGGAAUCCUGACAAUUCAGUGGAAUUUUUUUCAAUAAGAUCUAAUAUUGAAUAUAUUUGAUUUAACCAAUGUAACAGCAUCAAAAUGCAGGCAACUAACUGUAGUUAUAG
Notechis scutatus (mainland tiger snake) is the source of this 2159-nucleotide non-coding RNA. Lineage: Eukaryota; Metazoa; Chordata; Lepidosauria; Squamata; Elapidae. The record is from RefSeq and is a predicted model, not a curated record.